Molecule: long non-coding RNA, 1327 nt
Organism: Chlorocebus sabaeus (green monkey)
Lineage: Eukaryota; Metazoa; Chordata; Mammalia; Primates; Cercopithecidae
Source: RefSeq, a predicted model, not a curated record
CUAUUUGAGGAAGCUGACCUCUACAAUUUACAAGAGACUCUCCAGAGGAGGUUGCCAAGCCCCGGCUCUUUUCUCUUCAGCGCGAGGACAUGGGGGAAAGGAGACAUUUAUGAAUCUCUUUGAGUCUCAGUCUUUUCAUUUCUAAAAUUGCGUUAAUGAAAGCCUUUCUGAAAAUGGUGUUGUGAGGAAGGACAUGGAGUUUGGCACUCAGGAGGCGUUCAGUAAACGGUGGUUAUACUGUUGUUAGAAUGAGAGAAAGCAAAAGGCAGCCUCAUGCAAAACAGUAAAGAAGAGAGAAAAGAAACAGGAAAGAAAACAGCAUCUGUGGACUCCAGAAGCGCCCAGAGCCCGCACUCUCCCUCGCCCACCUGAGCACUCACCCUUGAUGACCUGGGUUCCGGGAGCCUCAGCAGGGCAGCCAGGGCCGUGGCUCGCAGGAUCCUGGCUCUGCCCUGGCUCCUUCAGUCUUCAGGGUGCAUCGGCAAUGGCCACUGUGCGCCAGACCCGGAGGAGAAAAUGAGGCGGUGCAGGGAGGGAGGAGCUCCGAAUCCAGCACUCCUUACCCCACCCCUGUCCAGGGAGAAAGGCUGGAGAUGAAACAGGCUGUGGCUGGGGAAGUAAGAUGCUAGAGCUGCCGGGAAGAAGUGGGAGAAUUAUCAGGCACCAGCAGGACCCAGAAAGCCCCUGCCUACUGCAGAGUGUGGGGCAAGGAGGGGGACCAUUACUCCUGGCAUUCCCAGAUGGAACAGACACCAAGCCUGGCUUUGCCACUGAACACAAUACAGGACUGAUAAUGCAGCCAGGCCUUCAGCCGAUUGAAUGGUGCAGUGAGCCGAAAUCACGCCACUGCACUCCAGUCUGGGCAACAGAGCGAGACUCUGUCUCGAAAAAAAAAGAAAAGACAAAGAAAGGCAUAUAUUGCUACAGAAGAUACUCUUAAAUCCUACUUUUCUGGAAAUAUUGGUUAUUAUAGAAAAUAUAGGACUAAAUCAUUUUAAAAUUCUCAUUCUGAAAUUAUUACAAAUGUUUUAUGAAUCAUAUUAGCAUAUAGGCAAGUUUUGGAAAGCUAAAAUUGCAAACCAGGGAUGCAGAUGAGUGUUCUGUGAAAUUUUUAAUUUUUGCAGAACACCAUGAGAAAUUACACAUUUUCUAUUCUAUAUUUCUUGUAGGAAAUAGAGGCUGUCCCUCUCUCAGUGCCCCACAUGAGAAAGGGAAGUUGUCCUUUUACAUAUCCACUGUCAAACAUCUUGGUAAACAGAGGAAAGCAGGCUGGGCCUGGUGGCUCAUGCCUAUAACCCCAGCACUUUGGGAGGCCAAGGAGGGCAGA